Molecule: long non-coding RNA, 1485 nt
Organism: Tachyglossus aculeatus (Australian echidna)
Lineage: Eukaryota; Metazoa; Chordata; Mammalia; Monotremata; Tachyglossidae
Exons: 5
Source: RefSeq, a predicted model, not a curated record
CAUCUGUGAAAUGGGGAUUAAGACUGUGAGCCCCACGUGGGACACCAUCACACGAUCACGGAUACAACGGGGCUCGGAUGGGGUUUGUCGGAUGGGGCCGGGGCCAAAGAAUGAGAAGGUUUGGAGUCUCAGGAACUGGGCUGGGGAGAAAGGACUUUUCCACUCCGAGGGAAGUCGGUUGUGGUAGGGUGACAGGAGCCUGGGUGGGGCUGGUGAGCAGAGCGGAGCUGGUUCGGGGGACUUGAAGUCCAUCCAAAAGACAGGUUAUCUGCUGGUGGCACCUUUGUCCCCUCCUUGCUGCUAUAACCACUGUUCCACUAAACCUGAGGUGCCCUGGGAGUCCUGGGUCUGGCUUCCUCUGCCACAUGGGUGGCCAUCAGUGACUCAGGCAGCAUUUUCAUCCUCCCAGGAGGGCCAUGUUCUUGGCAGUAGGAGUGGCCAAACAGAGGCAGAGUCCCAGCACUGCCCCAAGGGGAAGCUGGCCCUCCUCUCCAAGGGCCUCACCUUUCCCCUGCCUUGAAUGGGUCAGUUGCAUAAUAUGAAUUAUCCCUGCAAAGUUAGAAUGAAAUAGCCAAGCAAAAGGUAGCUGCUUUGGGAAAUCUAUCCUCCAACUGGAUUCUUCCCCUCACAUCAGCAGGAUGCUAACCAAAUUCCCUCAUAGUCCAGGAGGGGAGAAAACCCCUUUGCUCUCCUGCUCCCCUGGAUUCUGUUUAGGAGAGAGUUACUUGCAGACUCCUCUGGGUCAUGCAUCUGGUAUGAAAAGCAUCAGCAAUAGCAGGGUUAGGUGUGGCACCAGAGGCGCGGCUCAGUGAAUGGGCAUUGCUGCUCUGGCAGUUGCCUCCCCUCUACAGGGCUGCUCUCCAAGCAGACCAGCUAUCUCUCUGGGGAUUGUGGGAAGGCAAUAUCUGACUCUUCACAUGGGAUGCUGAUGAGUUUUCUCUGUUCUCUUUCUGUCUCUUUCGGAUUCACCUUGGAUUUGUGAUCUACUGACUGUUAUGGACUUCUUCCCUUCACCAUUCCAGCAACCAUGAUGCUGCAACAGCAACAGGGUCUUUGACUCUCUAGUGCUCCCGUUCCCUGCCCUUUGACCAACACAGAACAAGGGAUCGGUGACACUUCGGCUGUGUUCUCUUCUGUGGGGACCAUUUACUGACCUGAAAGGCUACGCAGGUAUAUAUGUCAUCUCUCAUUACACUCACAUCCAUCUGGCUCCAUCACGUUGUUAGGGAAUCCCAGCUGAACUGUUGCUAGGAAAUACAUUUUUAGAAUUUUACCCGAUUGACCGAAUUUCAACCAGCGCCCCCCAAAAUAUCCCAAAUUCAUUUUUUUUCAAUUUUUGCUAUUUUCCCUAACACUAUCUGUGUCAAAACUGACAGAAACCAAUUGAGGAAUGCUUUCCAAUCCUGCCCCAAUUAAGCAAAGUCUGUUUAGCCUAUGUGUGUGAUGAAGCUCCUAUCACUGAUGCAACACUGUCAUUGAUAGAAU